This 100-nucleotide transfer RNA is filed under the name Hypholoma sublateritium FD-334 SS-4. RNAcentral's name for it is "tRNA-Val". It matches the Rfam family "tRNA". Rfam says of the family: Transfer RNA (tRNA) molecules are approximately 80 nucleotides in length. Their secondary structure includes four short double-helical elements and three loops (D, anti-codon, and T loops). The record is from RNAcentral. Lineage: Eukaryota; Fungi; Basidiomycota; Agaricomycetes; Agaricales; Strophariaceae.
GGUUCAAUGGUCUAGUGGUUAUGAUUUCUGUCUCACAUUGAGAUUACUCACCUGCUCUCGGGUGCACAGAAGGUCUCCAGUUCGAUCCUGGAUUGAACCA